Molecule: long non-coding RNA, 235 nt
Filed under: Vitis vinifera (wine grape)
Lineage: Eukaryota; Viridiplantae; Streptophyta; Magnoliopsida; Vitales; Vitaceae
Description: long non-coding RNA (VVIN_LNC000297)
Source: RNAcentral
CAUGAUGCGAGAGAUGACGGUGUUCGGAGUACUGUACGAGAGGUGCGUCGUGAAAGAUCGGUCUGAGUUGUUCUCUAUUUCGAUUGGGAUCUGCUGAGUGGUCGAAAAUAGCACUCCCAUGUAUUGCACUGGAGUUUCUCUCUUAGUAAAAGAAAAUAUCUGCCUUAUCAGCUCAGCUAUCUCCUCUCGGCUGGGGACGUAACCUAGUUUUGGACGGGAGAAGGAAGAAACCAUG